GUUUUAUGCUUGCUACAUAUCAGAAAUCGAUGCUUAUAGACCAAGAGAAACUAGUAUUGCAUGGAAUGAUUCAGUGGUGGAAAGUCGGCAUUUGAAAUGCAAUGGAACAUGACUGGGUCAAAGUAUAGGUUCUCUCUAGAACACUGCUAAUCUGUUCAACAUAUGUUGCUAUGCUAACAUCUUUGACAGAAGUUAGACACACAGAGAGAAAGACUUAUUUAUGUUACUAUAUAAAAAAAACAUCUUGUAUGUAACACCUCUUCAGGUGUUAACAUCAAACAAAAAGCGAUGUAAAUAAAUGUCCUUCAACAGGAAGCAGGCAAAAAAAGUAGCAAAUCUAUAUACUGGGAGGUUCUCAGUUACAAAAGUGCAAACAACUUAUGUGUGCUAAAGCUUGUGCUUCAAGGACAGCACCUCAGUAACUACGGAUUGCUAGAUACUAAAUGGUCCCACGCAGCAAGCUUACAGAGGCAGAAAACAGAAAAGUGUGCACUGAGCCACACUACAAAGAGAACAUUUCUGUGUUAGUAAAGCACUGUGUGUCCUGACUAUGGAUGUGAUUCUGAAAAAUUCCAUGUAGAGUAAUGAUACAGAAAUACAUACUCAAGGUGCAGAUGAGUCCAGGUGAACACUGAUGAGACCCAAAGAAAGGCUAGAUUCUAAUUUUCACAGGAUAGCACAAAUAUCAAUUUUUGGUCUAACUACAAACUCUAGUUGGGUAUGGUGAAUCAAGUCCCACAAGAAACUAUAUAACUUCCUUACUGUUUAUAACGAUCUCAAAAUAAAAAUAUGAAAUACAUCGAUUGUCUAAAUCCAACGUUGCCCUGCCUGCCUUAGGAAACCUUGCACCCUGCUCUUUCUCCUCCAGCUCCUUUAUUCGUUUCCCUUUUCUAUGCUAGAGAUUGAUAAUCGUUCAACUUUCACCACUCCUCAAAUAUAAUCAUUACCUAAAUGGUUCUGCUUAAACUCGGGCAUGAACUAAACUUUAAAAUCAUAACAAAUAUCACAUAUCUCCCAAGGGCUAGCUGGAUAUAGCAAUCAAUAAAAGUAUUUCCAUCUCUGUCCAGCAACAACAUCUUGACUGUACAAUGACUUUGCUGUGCUUCAUUACACUUUAAUCUUCUUGAACUUGGUGAUCCAGCUUAGUUUUUAAAAUGAAUCUUUAAUGUAUAAGCAAAUCACUACCAAAAGGACAUCUCUGAUUGACAAGCUGCACUUGCCUUCUCAUUGGUAUCCUGGCAACUUGAUGUUGAAAACAAGAAUUGUAGUAAACUAAGCAAGACAAAUGCUAAACAGAGAUUUUUAGUAAGUUACUUUUUCCUUUAGAGUAUAUCCAUUUCUGUUCAUGAAAGAAUAAUUACCAAAAACAGCUGGAAUAUAUUUUCGUGCACUACAUAUAAAAUUAUUUUGCAAUUGUGCAUUUUUUUGAAACUUAGGUGUUUCAACCCUUUAUUAGUUAUAAAUCUGAAACUUUAUUGCUUUUUACAGAUUUCAUCUAUACUAAUCUUAAUCGCUAAACUGUAUCUUGAAAUUUUCUCCAAAAUACCCUAGAAAAUUACAAACCCACUAGUAUUACAGGAACAUGUAUGUUAUUUUAACCAAGCAAUAUGUAUAUUUAAUGAUGCUUCAUAGUGUCGUGGCUCUCAUGUUAGACAUUUAUUGUUAAUGCAUUUUCUAACAUAUCUUAUUAAAAGCCAUUAAAACCUGCAGCUGCAUCCCAUAAUCAUCCACUAAAUACAAGGACAGCAUUUAUAAAAGAUCUCCUUGUUCAAAAUACUGCCAUACAGAUCACAAAUCCUUCAUUGCCAGCCAGGAAGCUUUUAUUCUUUACAAAAAGAAAUGCUAAGUAAUUCAUCACAUGCCAGCCUUUUUUUCCCUUUUAAUUUCCAUAUAGUGGCCUUAGUCCAAGUGUUCAAAAUCCACAUUCAUCAGGAACAAUUAUGAUAUAGGCUCAGAAUGACACUUAAAUUUUUUAUUUGAGUGCCAUGUUUCUCCUGAGGCUCAGCCUCUUAAAAUGCAGCCAUGCUCUAUAUGUAAAGGGACAGUAAUUGGCUUAGCUGAGCAUAUGACAUUGAGGCUCCUGUGCAAAUACUCUAGGUCUGCAUACCAAAGGAGGAAACUAUGUGAUUUACAAUCUCAUUAAUUUUGUAGCACAAAAAAAAAAUCCUGUUCAAAGUUUUAUAUGCUUAUAAAAGUAAUGUAUGUUGUUUAUCUAAUUUGAUUAAUUUACUAGUCUUUGAUCAUACCUUACUUACCCAUAUCAUCUCCCGAAAGAGUUUCAUAUAAAAACAAAAGCAGGAUGAGACUCCAAAGGAAUUUCAUUAUUGAGAAAAAGGCCUUUGAGCAUAAUAGAAAUUCCUGAGUCACAAAACAGUUACUCCUUUUUAUGCACGAUUACAUUUUUCAACAUUCCUCCAUAACUUUCACAAUGUUCUAAAAUUUGUCAGCUAUUUUAUAUUUAUUUAUUUAUUUAUUUAUUUAUGCUCAUGUUUUCUUUAAAUAACAGCUAUAGUUAAAAGGAAAAUGAACAGAAAACUAUAUUCUGAUAGAAUAGUAAUAGCAACAGAAAACAAUAGUAAAUGACAGGUAGGCCUGAGUCACUACAUUUUUCACAAGUUUAUAAAAAGGUUAUAUCCAAAAAGAUUACAUUUAGUACAUUCAUCUACAUAUAGCUAUUUUUGAUUCUGAGGGAAUAAAUUAUCCCAUUUCAUAACAUAGUCAAGACAUAAAUAGCCAGUUGUCACUACAUGAAAAAUGAGGGUGCUGAUUAUUUCAAUAGGAACACUUAUAUAUAAAGCUACAACCACAUAAUUCUUUGAGAGCACAGAUUGCUGACUUAUCUAUGUUUCCAUAAGUACAGGUGGUGCACACAGAUGACACAGGGUGCCACUGAGACCAAGCUAGCUGUUGGUCUUAAGAAUACAGAUAACUGCACCUCAUACCACGUCCCCCGCCUCUUCCACGCAGAUCAGGACGUCCCCACCCAGGACUUUGUGCUCCACAGUGAUCCCCUGCAACAGCUCCCAUUAAUGCUUUCGGCUGUCUGAUCUCUCAGCAAGGAUGGAAUAAAUUGCCCACUGUUUGGUGGUACAUUAACUUCUUUGGGUUACUGGGGAGUCUUUUAGUGUACUGAAAGGUAAUUUGCUAAAUGGUACAUUGUUGAUUUAGAAAACUUAAUUGGCCUCUAGAAAAGUAGAUAAUUUACUCCUGCAGGAUGCAUGAUAAAGCCAGACUGUUACACAGGGAAUUUAAGUGGUUC
This 3259-nucleotide long non-coding RNA is filed under the name Mus musculus (house mouse). RNAcentral's name for it is "long non-coding RNA chr1:9286921-9290180". Lineage: Eukaryota; Metazoa; Chordata; Mammalia; Rodentia; Muridae. The record is from RNAcentral.